GACGAACUGUGCAAACGUUAUUCGGAAUCACUGGGCUUGAAGAGUGCGUAGGCGGUUUCGUAAGUCGGGUGUGAAAGCCCCCAGCUCAACUGGGGAACUGCGUCCUAAACUGCGAGGCUGGAGUGAGGUAGGGGUGUGUGGAACUUCCGGUGGAGCGGUGAAAUGCGUAGAGAUCGGAAAGAACACCAACGGCGAAAGCACUCUGCUGGGCCGACACUGACACUGAGAGACGAAAGCUAGGGGAGCGAAUGGG
This 253-nucleotide ribosomal RNA is filed under the name uncultured bacterium. RNAcentral describes it as "partial 16S ribosomal RNA". It matches the Rfam family "Bacterial small subunit ribosomal RNA", at positions 524 to 776 of the family's 1533-position model. The record is from RNAcentral.